RNAcentral lists this ribosomal RNA (902 nucleotides) under uncultured Bacteroidota bacterium. RNAcentral describes it as "bacterial SSU rRNA". It matches the Rfam family "Bacterial small subunit ribosomal RNA", at positions 1 to 896 of the family's 1533-position model. The record is from RNAcentral. Lineage: Bacteria; Pseudomonadati; Bacteroidota.
GGAUCCAGACUUUGAUUAUGGCUCAGGAUGAACGCUAGCUACAGGCUUAACACAUGCAAGUCGAGGGGCAGCAUGGUCUUAGCUUGCUAAGGCCGAUGGCGACCGGCGCACGGGUGAGUAACACGUAUCCAACCUGCCGUCUACUCUUGGACAGCCUUCUGAAAGGAAGAUUAAUACAAGAUGGCAUCAUGAGUCCGCAUGUUCACAUGAUUAAAGGUAUUCCGGUAGACGAUGGGGAUGCGUUCCAUUAGAUAGUAGGCGGGGUAACGGCCCACCUAGUCUUCGAUGGAUAGGGGUUCUGAGAGGAAGGUCCCCCACAUUGGAACUGAGACACGGUCCAAACUCCUACGGGAGGCAGCAGUGAGGAAUAUUGGUCAAUGGGCGAGAGCCUGAACCAGCCAAGUAGCGUGAAGGAUGACUGCCCUAUGGGUUGUAAACUUCUUUUAUAAAGGAAUAAAGUCGGGUAUGGAUACCCGUUUGCAUGUACUUUAUGAAUAAGGAUCGGCUAACUCCGUGCCAGCAGCCGCGGUAAUACGGAGGAUCCGAGCGUUAUCCGGAUUUAUUGGGUUUAAAGGGAGCGUAGAUGGAUGUUUAAGUCAGUUGUGAAAGUUUGCGGCUCAACCGUAAAAUUGCAGUUGAUACUGGAUAUCUUGAGUGCAGUUGAGGCAGGCGGAAUUCGUGGUGUAGCGGUGAAAUGCUUAGAUAUCACGAAGAACUCCGAUUGCGAAGGCAGCCUGCUAAGCUGCAACUGACAUUGAGGCUCGAAAGUGUGGGUAUCAAACAGGAUUAGAUGCCCUGGUAGUCCACACGGUAAACGAUGAAUACUCGCUGUUUGCGAUAUACAGCAAGCGGCCAGGCGAAAGCGUUAAGUAUUCCACCUGGGGAGUACGCCGGCAACGGUG